GCUCGGGAGGCUACGCCGUAAAACAAACCCAUUUCUAAGGUUGACCUCGGAUCAGGU
Molecule: ribosomal RNA, 57 nt
Filed under: Cladosporium oxysporum
Lineage: Eukaryota; Fungi; Ascomycota; Dothideomycetes; Cladosporiales; Cladosporiaceae
Description: partial 28S ribosomal RNA
Source: RNAcentral